GGGGGGGGGGGGGGGGGGGGGGGGGGGGGGGGGGGGGGGGGGGGGGGCGGGGGGUGGGGGGGGUGCUCGGGGGGCGGCCGGGGGGGUGGGCCGUGGGGGUCCGGCCCUUGGCUUUGGGGUGACUUCCGGGGACUGGGGCUACUACCGGCUCUGAGCGCCUGCUGCAUGGUGUGGCUUGUCAAAUUUCGGCUGAUGGGUAUGGACUCGCGGGUUAUCCUCUGGUUGUUGUGGUAGUGGCUUACCCAGGCUUUGACGGGUAGCCGGCCUGAGAGGGUGACCGGCCACAUUGGGACUGAGAUACGGCACAGACUCCUACGGGAGGCAGCAGUGGGGAAUAUUGCACAAUGGGCGGAAGCCUGAUGCAGCAACGCCGCGUGCGGGAUGACGGCCUUCGGGUUGUAAACCGCUUUCGCCGGUGACGAAGCGUGAGUGACGGUAAUGGGUAAAGAAGCACCGGCUAACUACGUG
This 468-nucleotide ribosomal RNA is filed under the name uncultured bacterium. Its description in RNAcentral is "partial 16S ribosomal RNA". It matches the Rfam family "Bacterial small subunit ribosomal RNA", at positions 38 to 507 of the family's 1533-position model. The record is from RNAcentral.